UUGUUUAAAAAUAACUUCCAAAAUAUGUGUCUAUUUUUUAUUGUUUUAAAAGAUCCAAUGGAAUGGAAUGGAAUGGUCUAAUAUUGUCUAAAACGUUAAAUAUUCUUGAUCUAUGGAAUCUUGGGGAAAAAUAUCAUUAUUAACCGUUUACAAAUUAAAAUAUAGCAUUUAAUAUAUUUCUUACGUAAAGCUUCAGAAUGUUUUCUAAAUAAAAUAUGUCAAAGAUAUUUUUAAUAUAAAAGAUAUUUCCUAAAAAUAACAUUUAUUCUGGAAAUGAAAUACUUUGAAUACAGGAAAUGAAUUUCUUUCUAGAUAGAUCCAGCCUUCCAGGUUUACUUCUAGAUAGAUCCAGCCUUCCAGGUUUACUUCUAGAUAGAUCCAGCCUUCCAGGUUUACUUCUAGAUAGAUCCAGCCUUCCAGGGUUACUUCUAGAUAGAUCCAGCCUUCCAGGUUUACUUCUAGAUAGAUCCAGCCUUCCAGGUUUACUUCUAGAUAGAUAUCUAGCAAAUGAACUGAUAACUCGCAACAAACACUAUUUUUUUCAUAAAUAUAUUUUAGCAGCCUGAUGAUGUAAACCUUAGAUUUUUCAGACUUUGACUUCUGAUCUGUUAAACCCAGCGUUUGAAAUAUAGUUUUCUACUACUUUUCGGAACUUUUCAGAUCAAACAAACUAAUCUAAUUUGUAUAGGUCAUCUGGUCUAUCUCGUUCAUCUGGUUCAUCUGGAAACAAUUGUAAAUUUGAUUAAUACUGAGUUUCCAGGUGUUUCAUAGCAAAACACUGGCUCAUUUCUAAUUUAAUUUUUACGAAAAAUUUUAUUAUUUUUUGUUAUGUUUAAAGUUAGUUUUUUUACUCAGAUUAAAUAUUCCAUAUAUGAGACAUUGAGGAAAGAGUCUGGAAAUAAUCAGUUAUGAUUUUUGGAUUUUAUUUUGAUGAGCUAGCUGUGAGCCAUGAAGAACCGGGAGCUGCCGAGAACAGAAGUGUUGAUCGGGAUGUAUUGUUCGAACCGAUUCUGUCCACCUGCAGGACUGAGACUUAGUCAUUAUUUAUUUAUUAUAAUAGUAUUCAUAGUACAGAAUAUAAAUUCAACUUGAUUGUUAAAACAUA
Long non-coding RNA from Eurytemora carolleeae, 1105 nucleotides. RefSeq lists it as uncharacterized. The record is from RefSeq and is a predicted model, not a curated record. The transcript is spliced from 2 exons. Lineage: Eukaryota; Metazoa; Arthropoda; Copepoda; Calanoida; Temoridae.